Sander lucioperca (pikeperch) is the source of this 4097-nucleotide long non-coding RNA. RefSeq lists it as uncharacterized. The transcript has 2 exons. The record is from RefSeq and is a predicted model, not a curated record. NCBI's taxonomy places the organism in Eukaryota, Metazoa, Chordata, Actinopteri, Perciformes, Percidae.
AUGGACAGAUAGUCUAGCUAGCUGUCUGGAUUUACCCUGCAGAGAUCAGAGGAGCAGUUAACCAUAGUCCUCAUAAAUCCACCGGAGUUUAAAAUUCCAACACAAAGAAAGUGGAAGGAAACGGAUAUCCAGGCGAAAAGAGCGACAUCCAGUGGAAUUUCCGGCGGCACUGGAGCAAUCUCGGAAGUGGAACGUCGUGGAUAUCGACUAGUUGAAAGGGAAAUGAGAAGACAUGAGAAUGACAUGAGAAAUAAGAUAUUAACUCUCUGUGGCUAUGCAGACCAUUGUGUGAUGGUUUUUAGCUAGAUAUUAAUAUUUGCCUUUGACUCCCAUCACCAUGUUGAGAUGUACCAAUUGCACCAGCUCUUCAUCAGUUUAGCUUUCUUAUAACAUACAGUAGGUGUUUAUUAAUGCUAAUUGGAGAUUUCCACAUUGAAUUAAAAUGGGUCGACCACUCAAACAUAUUCUGCAGAUUAGUUGUUAUUAAAUACUUAGACAUGCCACCAGCCAGGUGUUACUGUUACCUAGCUGACUGAACCAACUGACAAAACUAAUGUUUUUGUUUUAUUAUGAAGUUAAUAGGAAAUAUGAUUGACAUAUCUGACCAGACACUGGAUCAAAAUGUCUUUAAAUAAUGAAGUGACCUGUAAAGUUUUUUAAUUAAAUUUUGUGAAAAUAACACAACACACCUCAAUUAUGUAACGGUAUGCUAAUAACGUGCAUGCUAAUUGACCCGUUAGCAUAAUCAGAUAUUUCCAGCUCUUUCGAUACUGCACGAAUACUGCUAACUGUGAAAGGCAUAUUUCUUAUUUGAAUUACUUAAUGCUAGCACAAGAAAAGCAAGUUUUUAUGGUGCAACUCCAUUUAGGAAAUCACUAAUUUAAAAUUAGAUACUAAGAACUUAGGAAGGACUUUACACACAAACUUAGCGAUGGAUUUACGAAUAGCUGGUGCAACCGAAUCAUGGUACCUGAUGUGAAAGUGGAAAACCUAAAGUUAUGGGGCCUUGGAUAAGAGUCUCUAGUGGUCAUCCAGUUUACUUCCAGGUAGUUAUAAGUUAAAUUAUCAUGGAGGUAAACUCAUCUUGAGCAAAAGCUAAAAUUCUGCUGCUUUUUAUUAUCAAUCUUUGGUGCCAGAAACAUCAGUCUUAAUUUCGUUAACAAUGUUAUAUUCAAAUCACUGAUUUAAAAACUGAAGUCUAUUGGGAAAAAGUUGGAUAAUAAACCAACUAAAUGGUGCUGCUUUUUAUUUAAUAAAUACAGUACUAGAUAAACAAUCAAUGCGCUGUCACAAACAACCAAUGCAACACAAUGUGCGGUCAGCUGAUCAAUCACAUAAAAAUCUAUUUUUAUGACUUUUUGAUCGAGUGAUUGUCCCUGUGGGUUGGACCAGGGAGAUUUAUCAUAUAACAACACAUUUCUUUGGAUUUGAAUAUUUUGUGUGUUUUGUUGAUGUGUGCGUGCGUGUGUGUGUGUGUGUGUGUGUGUGUGUGUGUGUGUGUGUGUGUGUGUGUGUGUGUGUGUGUGUGUCUUGUUUUUGUAACGCAGUGCUGACCCAUUCAGAAAAGAGAGGGUGGAUCUGGGUUCAGUGUGGCUAGAUUUCCCUAUUACUAUCCAACUGUGGCCUGACCCGCAUGUCUCUCACACACACCCAAAUACACAUUGUCCCUAAGUCAUUAGCACUCUGUUGAAAAAUAUUUUGGAUACCAUACCAUAGCAUAUACUUUACUUUUUUGUGCUACAUAUUGUGUUUUUGAUUCUUAUUGAAUUUAGACUUACAACCCAUCAUGACUCCAAGUAUAUAUGUGUUUUCCUAGUUUCCAGUUUCAAACCAACCUUUCACUGUAUUAGAAUUCAUGAGGCAUUGUUUAGUUGUCAUAAAUUAUUGUAGCAGAGCUCAGACAAUACAUUUCAGUGAGCUAAGAAGUGUAUUCAGUCCUACAAAUCCCAAAGUAACCAAGUCAGCGGUAGAGUGUUUCAAACAUGCAGUGCAAUAUUUCAGAGAAGAUUAAAGAAUGGACUUUUAAAAGCCCAAGGCUGAGAUUACACAUCUUCUUGAAAAACACACCCAUCUAUAAUUUUACAGUUUUUUUCAUUGCAGAGGUAGGGGCCUUUAACAGUAUGACAGUGGGUUUCUGGAAAGCGUCUGGGUGUGUGAAGCCAGGCAGUUGGCAGAGCAGAGACGUUCCCCUGCUGUUGCCACAGUGGCAGGCAGACGGGACAGAGACAGACCCAGCCUGACAUAUGUUGGCUUAGAGGAGACGAGAGCUCCGCACUGAGCCCCAAACUGCUGGUGUUGUAUAUUGUUGUGAAGCUGUAAGGCUGUUCUGUGAGGAUCGCUAGGCACUGUGCUGGGUAUUUUUCAGAUCUCCCUUUGACUAAACAAAGCAGCUUAUGUAAGAUUUCAGGUCCUUGGUGAGAUCAAGUAAAUAGCCUCCAAGGUCCUCAAAGCUUGCGUUGAUAAAUGUAUUGCUGAAUAGUGGCCUACGCUAUAGUACAUAAGCAUCAGCACUACACUUAUUUCUAUCAAUCUGUGCUCGACUAGUUUUCACUGAAGGCUGUCUAUUGAAACAACAGAGGAGUUGAUGCAAAUUGAUCAGGGCUGUGAAAUAAAUUAAGUGUAUCUGCACUCUUUGUUCAGUUUAAAGGAAAUCUCUUGGUCCUCUGAAAAGCAUGCAACAUAAUUGCAAUGAGACCAAACCAUUUCAAAUUGUAUAGUGGAAUCAAGAAACAGACUUUAGUCAAUUUACAGUUAGAGGAAAGAAGUGGACUUGUAGAAAGCAUACAUUUAGUUUGAGAACUUUCCCUUUUGGAAAAUAUUACCUUGGUACUCCUGAGACUCUCUCCUCUCGCCGUUUUCUAAACUAUGAACAAAUCUCUCUGCUGUGAUGGCUAGGUCAAGUUUGUCUCCUACUGAAAGUCAUUUUUCAUCUAUGAAAGGUUUUUAACUUCCUUUUCGUCCAAAUAGGUAUGAACACACAUGAACUUCUAUAAAGGGCCUCCUGUUACAAAGUGAUCUUGUUUUUCCUUAUUUCAGUUGGUGUUUUACGUUGGAUCCCUUCGGUUGUGUGGGUUGCAUGUGAUACUGUGAACAUUGGAGGAUUCAAUGGUGAUUGUGAUUCAACUGUGGUGAAAUGAUGGUAAUGUAACAGCUAGUCACCAACCAAAACCUUGUGAAAACCCCAAGGGCAGAAAAGUGCACCAGUGUCACAUUUAAUGUCAUGAGGGCAGCAAUUAAGUACAAGUGCCAUCUUUUCUGACUUAUUCAGCAUACUGUAAAAUUAUUACUCUACACAGCCACAUUUUCCUUCAUCAAUUUUAUGUAAGCCAAUCAUUUCUGCCAUCGCCUUCCUUUCCACAUUUUCAAUCACAUAUUUCUAUCAUUUCGACAUCUGUGGCUUCACUUCUGGUACGAGUGUCUACUGUCUGCUUUUACUUCUAGAACCCUUGAUGUGAAACAUUUCAAGGGGACUUUUUCAUGCUGUGGAAAGAGCGUCAGACUCACUAAGUAGACUGAUACAACACUUCCUGGAACUUGGAAUGUGAAACCACACUAUAAUUACUAGAUUAAAAUGAAAAAGGUAGUCGUUUAGCUAAAACUAUUUUCAUCUCUUGUAUAUCAUAUCUAUAGUGAGGAUGAAUAUAAUGCCAAAUAUUCAUUAUUUGUAAAGAAAUAUAUAUAGAUAUAUAAAUAUAUAAUAUAUGCUUCAUUGAAACAACUAUUUUCUGCAUUUGCUCAUGUUUUAUUGUCAUUUUUACUUUAUUAUGGUUAUUUUAGAAGCUGAUAUGAUGGCAUGCGAAAUACUGAUUGAAUGUAGGCUUAUUUAUAAUUUUUUGUUUUUAUAACACUGUCCCACUGAUAUGUUAUGUAUUUUAUUUAAGUCAAUUGCAUUUCUCAAUGUGUGCUAUUUCAGUGCAAGUUAACGUAUCAUUGGGUUAUUUUUGUAUUAUUUUACUAAGUUUAGUAGACGUUUCCCUCCAUUCUUUCCUAGCUGAGCUAUUGAAAGAUUUUUGCCUCUUUGAGUAGUUUGGUCAUUGCUGAGAUCAUCCAGUGUAAAUAAUUCUGCAAUUAAAUUUUCGAAGAAAAAGUUUGGAAAA